Long non-coding RNA from Elaeis guineensis (African oil palm), 1005 nucleotides. RefSeq lists it as uncharacterized. The record is from RefSeq and is a predicted model, not a curated record. Lineage: Eukaryota; Viridiplantae; Streptophyta; Magnoliopsida; Arecales; Arecaceae.
AUAUAUAUAUAUACCUUUGAUGUUUUGAAAUCGGGAAUAUUUCUUGUUGUAUCAACCACUACGAUUCGAUGCCCCAGUUUUUUCUUUUGAUUUUUUUCUUAAUUACUAUUUUUUACUGUUGGAAUUGAGGUAUGUGCAUAUGACGGCUUUUGCCACCCAAUUAUUUUUUUAAAUCAAAUUAAGAACAUAUCAGAGAUGUUUGGUUGUUUCUGCCUACCAAUCUUUUUGGUUUGCUUCAUGAAGUUUUUCUAAUUGCAGAUUGCUGUGAUUGUAUUUUAUGUUAUUUUAUUUUUUCCCUCAUCGGGGAGGAAUGGCAGCGCUGGCUUCUACAAGUAGACUUUAUGUUUAGAAUGACAUUUCAAUUAAAUUGGAGUUACAAAUGUUUGUUUGGUCGUCUUUUUUUUAUUUAUUUAUUUUCAGGGCAGAGAUGUUAGCUUCUCUUCUGAUUGGAUGCGUCUUUCUGUUCAUGUAAACUCGGCUACAACCUACAGCCCAAUGGUUGCAUACAUCUUAUGGGUUCUGCAUUGGAACUUUGCUCGAUUUUGAUCUUCUCGUCUCUGUGAGAGUGGACUAGGUGAAAUACAUUACUAAGCCUUUGUGCCGGCUGUUUUGCGGCUGGAGUUGCUGCAUUUCUAUUGAUGGUUUUUCUGUUUUUUAAAUUAAAUAAAAGAAGAAAAGAAUUGUAUUCAUAUUAGAAAAAGAAAAUUCAGUGCCAUUGCUAACCUUUAUGCAUUGGGUGUGUACUGUAUUUGCAAAUUAUUAUUCAAGAUGUCAUACAGAUUGCUCGAGUAUCAAAAUAAUGCUGAUAGUUUUGAAUGGGAAACGCGGUGCAGUUUAGAGACUGUGGAGUUACUGUAGAUGUCAUUGUACGUUGCUAUAUUGUUGUUUCUCCAUCCUAAAGUAGAAAUACAUAUGGUUGGAGCUGGACUCCAACAGAUUAUGAUCCUCGUAUGUAAUGGGCGCCAAUGUUCUACAUCAAUGUGAAUAUUGUUCAGUUUUAAUGGA